This 464-nucleotide ribosomal RNA is filed under the name uncultured bacterium. RNAcentral describes it as "partial 16S ribosomal RNA". It matches the Rfam family "Bacterial small subunit ribosomal RNA", at positions 28 to 507 of the family's 1533-position model. The record is from RNAcentral.
GACGAAUGCUGGCGGCGUGCUUAACACAUGCAAGUCGAACGGAAAGGCCCUGCUUGCAGGGUACUCGAGUGGCGAACGGGUGAGUAACACGUGGGUGAUCUGCCCUGCACUUCGGGAUAAGCCUGGGAAACUGGGUCUAAUACCGGAUAGGAGCCAUCUUUAGUGUGAUGGUUGGAAAGUUUUUUCGGUGUAGGAUGAGCUCGCGGCCUAUCAGCUUGUUGGUGGGGUAAUGGCCUACCAAGGCGGCGACGGGUAGCCGGCCUGAGAGGGUGGACGGCCACAUUGGGACUGAGAUACGGCCCAGACUCCUACGGGAGGCAGCAGUGGGGAAUAUUGCACAAUGGGCGCAAGCCUGAUGCAGCGACGCCGCGUGGGGGAUGACGGCCUUCGGGUUGUAAACUCCUUUCGCUAGGGACGAAGCUUUUGUGACGGUACCUAGAUAAGAAGCACCGGCUAACUACGUG